UGUGACCGUACGUGAUCGCCCAGUAUGCGCAGCCGGACGCUAUUUUGUUACACCUAAGUGGCUAGUCGUCGAAAAGGGUAUUCCAUAGCACGUAGGUAAAGUCGCAGAGCUUAGGAUGGCCGGGCUAUCAGUAUUUGUAAGGUAUGGUCACCAGGAAAACGGUUAGCCGGCUGAAGAGGGACCGGCACACUGGGACUGAGACACGGCCAGAUUCUUACGGGAGGCAGCAGUAGGGAAUAUUGGGCAAUGGGCGCAAGCUUGACCCAGCGACGCCGCGUGAGGGAUGACGGUCUCGGAUUGUAAACCUCUUCAGUAGGGAAGAAGCGAAAGUGACGGUACUUAAGAAGAAGCACCGGGUAAUAUGUGCAGUAGCCGCGGUAAUACAUAGGGUGCAAGCGUUGUCCGGAAUUAUUGGGCGUAAAGAGCUCGUAGGUCGUGUGUCGCGUCAUUGUGAAAAUCUGAGGCUCAACCUCAGACCUGCAGUCGAUACGGCAACUAGAGUGUGGUAGGGGAGACUGGAAUUCCUGGUGUAGCGGUGGAAUGCGCAGAUAUCAGGAGGAACACCAAUGGCGAAGGCAGUCUCUGGGCCAUAACUGACACUGAGGAGCGAAAGUGCGGGGAGCGAACAGGAUUAGAUACCCUGGUAGUCCGCACCGUAAACGGUGGGCACUAGUUGUGGGAACCUUCCACGGUUUCCGCGACGCAGCAAACGCAUUAAGUGCCCCGCCUGGGGAGUACGAUCGCAAGAUUAAAACUCAAAGAAAUUGACGGGGCCCCGCACAAGCAGCGGAGCAUGCGGCUUAAUUCGACGCACGCGAAGAACCUUACCAAGGCUUGACAUAUACAGGAAUACGGCAGAGAUGUCGUAGCCGCAAGGUCUGUAUACAGGUGGUGCAUGGUUGUCGUCAGCUCGUGCCGUGAGGUGUUGGGUUAAGUCCCGCAACGAGCGCAACCCCUAUCACUAGUUGCCAUCAGGUAAUGCUGGGAACUCUAGUGAAACUGCCGUCGCAAGACGGAGGAAGGAGGGGAUGAUGUCAAGUCAUCAUGGCCUUUAUGCCCUGGGCUACACACGUGCUACAAUGGGUGCUACAAAGGGUCGCCACACAGUGAUGUGAAGCCAUCUCAAAAAGCACUCUCAGUUCAGAUCGCAGUGUCCAACUCGACUGCGUGAAGCUG
Molecule: ribosomal RNA, 1176 nt
Filed under: uncultured Actinomycetes bacterium
Lineage: Bacteria; Bacillati; Actinomycetota; Actinomycetes
Description: bacterial SSU rRNA
Rfam family: Bacterial small subunit ribosomal RNA
Source: RNAcentral